RNAcentral lists this long non-coding RNA (1188 nucleotides) under Bemisia tabaci. Its description in RNAcentral is "lncRNA ENSSSA2NGG010514". The record is from RNAcentral. Lineage: Eukaryota; Metazoa; Arthropoda; Insecta; Hemiptera; Aleyrodidae.
ACUGUGGUGUUAAUUUGCCGCAAAGAAUAUAUAUUUUUUUUAAAUUGGUCCAUCUUUCAAGUAUAACGCAGGCUUUAGCAGGCUUAAAGCAAUAAUGUCCACUGAAUGGUUCAAGUCAUUUUUUAAACGCGGCGAUAUUUUUGUCCUCGAUCGCGGGUUUGAAAAUGUAAAAUCUGACUUAGAAGCUGCCGGUUUUCGAGUCUACAUACCUUGUUUAAAAAAAGGUAACGCUCAGCUUUCAACCAAGGACGCCAACGAGAGCAGAUUAUGCACCAAAGUUCGUUGGGUGGUUGAAGUAGUGAAUAGUUCUAUUAAAAGAUUUCGACACUUUCGUUCAUCGGUAAUUUCAAGUGAAGUGCCGCAUUUGUUUGAUGACUAUCGCAUAGUGUCUGCGAUACAUAAUUUAUAUUUUCAACGCCUGCAAAGUGAUGGUGACGACGCAAAAAUUGCCAAUCAAAUGCUCCAAAAAUUAAAUGAGCCGAAUAUUGUGCAACAAAUUGUUGAGGACGAGAAAUGGCUCCGAAAAAAAGUAGUUUUUGAAAACCUGACCACAGAUCAUUUUAAACAAUUAGAGCAGUGGAGGAGCGAAGAUCUUGACACCCUCUCGGGAAGAUAUCAAAUUGGACUUGCAGCAAGUUAUAUCGCAGACCAUUUUGCUAAUGGAAAAUAUUGCUUUCAAGUGACGAAGGAUAACUUUUUGCCAGAUUUUCAAAAAUAUGAUAUUUCCGUAAAUUCGCCUCUUUUUCUUCGAUCGCGGAUCCUAUCGAGGCAUAAAUCAAAAAAAGAAUAUCAUAUAUAUAUAUUAAUCGACACCAGUAAAAAAUCCAACGAGGCCAUUAAAGCAAAUUACUGCACUUGUAAGAACGGUGCGCGUACCAUCAAUCCUUGUGCUCACGUCGUAACUAUACUGUGGUAUUUGUUUUACGGGCGUUAUCACAAAAAACCAGCGCCUUCAGCCUUUUUGAACGAGUGCUUCCCUCUCAGAAAAGUCGAUUUGGCUUUCAGACGACGAAGAUGAGGAUGAAAAUGCGGAUCACACUGCCGAUGAUCCUAUGGAUUGUGGUGAUGAUUAAUUCGGUGAGAUUCCACUCUUCUAUUAUUAUAUUAAUAUAAUUUUAAUCAUACUUGUACAACAUAAUAGGGUAUAUUGUGUGCAUUUAUUUGUUCAAAUGAUCAUUAAAGGUAGUC